GAGGAAUAAGCAUCGGCUAACUUCCCGUGCCAGCAGCCGCGGUAAUACGGGGGAUGCAAGCGUUAUCCGGAAUCAUUGGGCGUAAAGCGCCUGUAGGUUGUUUAAUAAGUCUGUUGUUAAAGACUAGGGCUUAACCCUAGAAAAGCAAUGGAAACUACUAGACUAGAGUAUGGCAGGGGUAGAGGGAAUUUCUAGUGUAGCGGUGAAAUGCGUAGAUAUUAGAAAGAACACCGGUGGCGAAAGCGCUCUACUGGACCAUUACUGACACUCAGAGGCGAAAGCUAGGGUAGCAAAAGGGAUUAGAUACCCCUGUAGUCCUAGCCGUAAACGAUGGAUACUACAUGUUGUGCAUUAUGUACAGUAUGGUAGCUAACGCGUUAAGUAUCCCGCCUGGGGAGUACGCUCGCAAGGGUGAAACUCAAAGGAAUUGACGGGGGCCCGCACAAGCGGUGGAGCAUGUGGUUUAAUUCGAUGCAACGCGAAGAACCUUACCAAGGCUUGACAUACUACAAAUUUUUCUGAGAAGAGAAAGUGCCUUCGGGAAUGUAGAUACAGGUGGUGCAUGGCUGUCGUCAGCUCGUGUCGUGAGAUGUUGGGUUAAGUCCCGCAACGAGCGCAACCCUUGUUUUUAGUUGCCAAUUUAUUGGGUUUUCUAGAAAGACUGCCGGUGACAAACCGGAGGAAGUUGAGGAUGACUGCAAGUCAGCAUGCACCUUAUGCCUUGGGCGACACACGUGCUACAAUGGCUAGGACAAAGAGUUGCGAGCUCGCAAGAGUCAGCUAAUCUCAUAAACUUAGUCUAAGUUCGGAUUGUAGGCUGCAACUCGCCUGCGUGA
Molecule: ribosomal RNA, 836 nt
Filed under: Haptophyta environmental samples
Lineage: Eukaryota; Haptophyta
Description: bacterial SSU rRNA
Rfam family: Bacterial small subunit ribosomal RNA
Source: RNAcentral